This 305-nucleotide ribosomal RNA is filed under the name uncultured bacterium. RNAcentral's name for it is "bacterial SSU rRNA". It matches the Rfam family "Bacterial small subunit ribosomal RNA", at positions 333 to 653 of the family's 1533-position model. The record is from RNAcentral.
UAAGUCCUACGGGACGCAGCAGUGGGGAAUAUUGGGCAAUGGACGCAAGUCUGACCCAGCAACGCCGCGUGAAGGAAGAAGGCUUUCGGGUUGUAAACUUCUUUUAAGGGGGAAGAGUAGAAGACGGUACCCCUUGAAUAAGCCACGGCUAACUACGUGCCAGCAGCCGCGGUAAUACGUAGGUGGCAAGCGUUGUCCGGAUUUACUGGGUGUAAAGGGCGUGCAGCCGGAGAGACAAGUCAGAUGUGAAAUCCACGGGCUCAACUCGUGAACUGCAUUUGAAACUGUUUCCCUUGAGUGUCGGG